Molecule: ribosomal RNA, 253 nt
Filed under: uncultured bacterium
Lineage: Bacteria
Description: partial 16S ribosomal RNA
Rfam family: Bacterial small subunit ribosomal RNA
Source: RNAcentral
UACGAAGUGGGCUAGCGUUGUUCGGAUUUACUGGGCGUAAAGCGCACGUAGGCGGAUCGAUCAGUCAGGGGUGAAAUCCCAGAGCUCAACUCUGGAACUGCCUUUGAUACUGUCGAUCUGGAGUAUGGAAGAGGUGAGUGGAAUUCCGAGUGUAGAGGUGAAAUUCGUAGAUAUUCGGAGGAACACCAGUGGCGAAGGCGGCUCACUGGUCCAUUACUGACGCUGAGGUGCGAAAGCGUGGGGAGCAAACAGG